This 293-nucleotide ribosomal RNA is filed under the name Bostockia porosa. RNAcentral describes it as "partial 12S ribosomal RNA". It matches the Rfam family "Bacterial small subunit ribosomal RNA", at positions 879 to 1339 of the family's 1533-position model. Lineage: Eukaryota; Metazoa; Chordata; Actinopteri; Centrarchiformes; Percichthyidae. The record is from RNAcentral.
ACUACGAGCAUUAGCUUAAAACCCAAAGGACUUGGCGGUGCUUUAGAUCCACCUAGAGGAGCCUGUCCUAGAACCGAUAACCCCCGUUAAACCUCACCCCUCCUUGUCCUCCCCGCCUAUAUACCGCCGUCGUCAGCUUACCCUGUGAAGGGCUUAUAGUAAGCAAAAUUGGUAAAACCCAAAACGUCAGGUCGAGGUGUAGCGUAUGGAGGGGGAAGAGAUGGGCUACAUUCCCUAAUGCAGUGAAUACGAAUAAUGAGUUGAAAUACUCAUCUGAAGGAGGAUUUAGUAGU